This 253-nucleotide ribosomal RNA is filed under the name uncultured bacterium. Its description in RNAcentral is "partial 16S ribosomal RNA". It matches the Rfam family "Bacterial small subunit ribosomal RNA", at positions 524 to 776 of the family's 1533-position model. The record is from RNAcentral.
UACGGAGGGGGCGAGCGUUAUUCGGAAUUAUUGGGCGUAAAGGGCGCGUAGGCGGCCCGGUAAGUCAAAGGUGAAAUCCCUCGGCUCAACUGAGGAACUGCCUUUGAAACUGUCGGGCUUGAGGCCGGGAGGGGGUAGCGGAAUUCCAGGUGUAGCGGUGAAAUGCGUAGAUAUCUGGAGGAACAUCGGUGGCGAAGGCGGCAUCCUGGACCGAUAUUGACGCUGAGGCGCGAAAGCCAGGGGAGCAAACGGG